GGGCCUAUAGUUUAGUGGUAGAACAGUGCAUUCGCAUUGCACAAACGGGAGUUCGAUUCUCCCUAGGUCCACAA
RNAcentral lists this transfer RNA (74 nucleotides) under Candidatus Colwellbacteria bacterium GWA2_46_10. RNAcentral's name for it is "tRNA-Ala". It matches the Rfam family "tRNA". From Rfam's summary of the family: Transfer RNA (tRNA) molecules are approximately 80 nucleotides in length. Their secondary structure includes four short double-helical elements and three loops (D, anti-codon, and T loops). Lineage: Bacteria; Candidatus Colwelliibacteriota. The record is from RNAcentral.